GACUCCGGCGUCCACGGGUUAGAGGAUCCGCGCUUUCAACGCGGAGACCGGGUUCGAGUCCCGGCGGAGUUG
RNAcentral lists this transfer RNA (72 nucleotides) under bacterium. Its description in RNAcentral is "tRNA-Glu". It matches the Rfam family "tRNA". From Rfam's summary of the family: Transfer RNA (tRNA) molecules are approximately 80 nucleotides in length. Their secondary structure includes four short double-helical elements and three loops (D, anti-codon, and T loops). Further hydrogen bonds mediate the characteristic L-shaped molecular structure. tRNAs have two regions of fundamental functional importance: the anti-codon, which is responsible for specific mRNA codon recognition, and the 3' end, to which the tRNAs corresponding amino acid is attached (by aminoacyl-tRNA synthetases). tRNAs cope with the degeneracy of the genetic code in two manners: having more than one tRNA (with a specific anti-codon) for a particular amino acid; and 'wobble' base-pairing, i.e. permitting non-standard base-pairing at the 3rd anti-codon position. RNAcentral also lists the same sequence under 1 other name. The record is from RNAcentral.